This 862-nucleotide ribosomal RNA is filed under the name Trichophyton tonsurans. RNAcentral's name for it is "partial large subunit ribosomal RNA". It matches the Rfam family "Eukaryotic large subunit ribosomal RNA", at positions 65 to 944 of the family's 3401-position model. Lineage: Eukaryota; Fungi; Ascomycota; Eurotiomycetes; Onygenales; Arthrodermataceae. The record is from RNAcentral.
CCAACAGGGAUUGCCCCAGUAACGGCGAGUGAAGCGGCAAGAGCUCAAAUUUGAAAUCUGGCCUCCCCCGGGGGCCCGAGUUGUAAUUUGCAGAGGAUGUUUCGGGUGCGGCCGCCGUCUAAGUUCCUUGGAACAGGACGUCAGAGAGGGUGAGAAUCCCGUCUUGGGCGGGCGGUCCGCGCCCGUGUGAAGCUCCUUCGACGAGUCGAGUUGUUUGGGAAUGCAGCUCUAAGCGGGUGGUAAAUUUCAUCUAAAGCUAAAUAUUGGCCGGAGACCGAUAGCGCACAAGUAGAGUGAUCGAAAGGUUAAAAGCACCUUGAAAAGGGAGUUAAACAGCACGUGAAAUUGUUGAAAGGGAAGCGCUUGCGGCCAGACUCGGGGGCGGGGUUCAGCGGGUGCUCGUCGCCCGUGUAUUCCUCGUUUCCCGGGCCAGCAUCAGUUUCGACGGCCGGUCAAAGGCCCCCGGAAUGUGUCGUCUCUCGGGACGUCUUAUAGCCGGGGGUGCAAUGCGGCCCGUCGGGACUGAGGAACGCGCUCCGGCUCGGAUGCUGGCGUAAUGGCCGUAAGCGGCCCGUCUUGAAACACGGACCAAGGAGUCUAACAUCCACGCGAGUGUUCGGGUGUCAAACCCGUGCGCGCAGUGAAAGCGAACGGAGGUGGGAGCCCUAGGGCGCACCAUCGACCGAUCCUGAAGUCUUCGGAUGGAUUUGAGUAGGAGCGUGGCCGUUGGGACCCGAAAGAUGGUGAACUAUGCCUGAAUAGGGUGAAGCCAGAGGAAACUCUGGUGGAGGCUCGCAGCGGUUCUGACGUGCAAAUCGAUCGUCGAAUUUGGGCAUAGGGGCGAAAGACUAAUCGAACCAUC